Non-coding RNA from Mycena latifolia, 93 nucleotides. Lineage: Eukaryota; Fungi; Basidiomycota; Agaricomycetes; Agaricales; Mycenaceae. The record is from the annotation of a GenBank genome assembly.
UCAGAUGUGGUGUGGUUGGUAACGCGACUUCUCUUUCUGAACUGGAACCAGACGUUCGUGAGGCAGUCCAGGGUUCGAAUCCCUGCGUCUGAA